Molecule: ribosomal RNA, 274 nt
Filed under: uncultured bacterium
Lineage: Bacteria
Description: partial 16S ribosomal RNA
Rfam family: Bacterial small subunit ribosomal RNA
Source: RNAcentral
AUACGAAGGGGGCUAGCGUUGUUCGGAUUUACUGGGCGUAAAGCGCACGUAGGCGGAUUGAUUAGUUAGGGGUGAAAUCCCGAGGCUCAACCUCGGAACUGCCUCUAAAACUGUCAAUCUCGAGACCGGAAGAGGUGAGUGGAACUCCUAGUGUAGAGGUGGAAUCCGUAGAUAUUAGGAAGAACACCAGUGGCGAAGGCGGCUCACUGGUCCGGUACUGACGCUGAGGUGCGAAAGCGUGGGGAGCAAACAGGAUUAGAAACCCGUGUAGUCC